UUCGGAAUUACUGGGCUUAAAGAGUUCGUAGGCGGCGCAGAAAGUAGGGUGUGAAAGCCCUCGGCUCAACCGAGGAAUUGCGCUCUAAACUACUGUGCUCGAGGAAUCUAGAGGUGAGCGGAACUGAUGGUGGAGCGGUGAAAUGCGUUGAUAUCAUCAGGAACACCGGAGGCGAAGGCGGCUCACUGGGGAUUUUCUGACGCUGAGGAACGAAAGCCAGGGGAGCGAACGGG
Molecule: ribosomal RNA, 233 nt
Filed under: uncultured bacterium
Lineage: Bacteria
Description: partial 16S ribosomal RNA
Rfam family: Bacterial small subunit ribosomal RNA
Source: RNAcentral